Molecule: long non-coding RNA, 431 nt
Organism: Mytilus californianus (California mussel)
Lineage: Eukaryota; Metazoa; Mollusca; Bivalvia; Mytilida; Mytilidae
Exons: 3
Source: RefSeq, a predicted model, not a curated record
AUAAAUGAGUCUCUCUGAAUAUUUAGAUAUAUAUAAAUAUCAUUUUAAUUGAUAAGAUUGGUAUUUAAAUAUUUGAACAGGAUAUUUGUGAUGCCAUUCUAUUGUGGGAUGUUUAUAGACCUUUCGUUGCUAUUGAACCGUCGAAGAAGCGACAAAGAAUAUGACAUUGUUCUUGGCAAGAAAGAAGACGAUGAAACAGUGAAAAACAAGAAGAAGAAGAAAAUGUUAUAUGCAUGUUGUGCUACAAUGUGGCAUGAGACAGCCAACGAAAUGACACAGUUGUUGAAGUCUUUAUUCAGAUUAGACCAGAGACAGUUUAUAAACGACAUGAUAGCUGACGAGAAGCAAGAUGCUGAGGAAGUAGAAACUUUUGAAUUUGAAGGUAAAAGUGGAAAUGGUACAAACAAAUAGUCCCCCUAUUUUUUAAGAAU